GAUGAACGCUGGCGGCGUGCUUAACACAUGCAAGUCGAGCGAGAAGUUUUGAAAAGAUUCUUCGGAUGAAAUUUAAAAUGGAAAGCGGCGGACGGGUGAGUAACGCGUAGGCAACCUGCCCCAUACAAAGGGAUAGCAUUUGGAAACGAAUAUUAAUACCUUAUGAAACUUAACUAGUGCAUGCUAGGUAGGUCAAAGAUUUAUCGGUAUGGGAUGGGCCUGCGUCUGAUUAGCUAGUUGGUGAGGUAACGGCUCACCAAGGCGACGAUCAGUAGCCGACCUGAGAGGGUGAACGGCCACAUUGGAACUGAGACACGGUCCAAACUCCUACGGGAGGCAGCAGUGGGGAAUAUUGCACAAUGGGGGAAACCCUGAUGCAGCAACGCCGCGUGAACGAUGAAGGCCUUUGGGUCGUAAAGUUCUGUUCUAGGUGAUGAAAACUGACAGUAACCUAGGAGAAAGCCCCGGCUAACUCC
RNAcentral lists this ribosomal RNA (476 nucleotides) under uncultured bacterium. RNAcentral's name for it is "partial 16S ribosomal RNA". It matches the Rfam family "Bacterial small subunit ribosomal RNA", at positions 28 to 504 of the family's 1533-position model. The record is from RNAcentral.